RNAcentral lists this transfer RNA (76 nucleotides) under Candidatus Cacconaster stercorequi. Its description in RNAcentral is "tRNA-Ile". It matches the Rfam family "tRNA". From Rfam's summary of the family: Transfer RNA (tRNA) molecules are approximately 80 nucleotides in length. Their secondary structure includes four short double-helical elements and three loops (D, anti-codon, and T loops). The record is from RNAcentral. Lineage: Bacteria; Pseudomonadati; Bacteroidota; Bacteroidia; Bacteroidales.
GGCGCAUUAGCUCAAUCGGCAGAGCAUCCCGCUCAUAACGGGACGGUUCCGGGUUCAAUCCCCCGAUGCGCCACCA